This 5077-nucleotide long non-coding RNA is filed under the name Anolis carolinensis (green anole). RNAcentral describes it as "lncRNA (ENSACAG00000031483.2)". Lineage: Eukaryota; Metazoa; Chordata; Lepidosauria; Squamata; Anolidae. The record is from RNAcentral.
CAUAUUUGAGAGGAAUCUGCCCAAUACACAAUGUCUACUUUUGGAGAGGAAGAGGCGGAAGAAGGAGAAGCAUAUGAAGAUUUUGAAGAAGCCCCAAGUGAACCACUUGUACCUGAACAAGAUCCUAAAGGCGCACAAGAAUCCACUCCAGUAAGCUGCUGCUGUCUUCUGUGGAGUGUCAUCUGGUUGGCUGUAUUGGUUGCUUUUGCCUGGCCUUUGAGUGUGGCUAUGGCAGCCCUUUAUGGAUUUGUGGCACCUCUGAUUACCCUCAUAGGCCUGGAUGAUAUCAGUGAUUCUAUGUUGCAAGCAGUAAAUUUGGGAAGACAGUGUGCACGCAACGUCAGAGCUGGCAGGCCCAUGGUUUGAAGAAAAGUCCUCACAGCACUUACUAUUCCAUGCCUUCUCCAGUCUGCUUCCUUCCCAUGAAUUUACUGCUAGUGUUCACCUGUGUCUUUACCUCUAAUAUUAAAAAACACUUAUUUCAAUAUAAAACUGGCUCCAUGACAUUUAUACCUGAUCUUAUAUUCAAUCCACACAUGUAGAAAUAUAAUAAAUCUGUACCACUUAAAUUCUAGGAGCCUACUGAAAGAUGUGUACUGAGUAUUGGGAGGAAGGGAAUGAUUUUUCUAACUAGCUGUUGAUGUUGCUCUUAUCCAAGUUCAUAGUGGAAUUGUGUGUGCAUAGAGUAUGUGCAUGCAUGAGAAAACAGUUUUCGACUUACAUUGCAUUAUUUAUCUUCUUGUGUUCUGCAACCAUAAACUGUAUUCCUUUCUUUUGAAUCUCUCUUGAUGACAGUAAGACAAAAAGGAUAUUUGUGUGUUUGAUUUGAUUUUAGUUCAGAUGGCAAUCAGGGGAUGUGGUUGAUUCCAGCUCAGUUUGGUACUGAAUCUGCUCCUAGUUUUCAUGCAAACUUUAAAACCACUAUUCUCUAAAAUAUAUCCAGCUACUUGAAUAGCUUUUAUAAAGUUUGGAUUAAAGCUUGACAUGGAACCUAGUACCCCCCCUCGUGGCAAACUUUGUGUAUGUAUAAAGCAGAGAGGAAAACAUGAUGUAUUUUCUUUAGAUAUAGCUUUGAGGGAUGAUUCCCCCUGACAUGAGCAUCAAUCUUCUACUCAAGAAACAAAACGGCUUUCUUGAGAUGAAAGUGAACUCCAUUCUAACAAGUUUUUUCCAAAGGAGGGAUCAUUCCUUCUGGCAUGAUUCAUAGGACUUGUCUGCAAGGGCGAACUGUCAUUGAGGAGAAAGCUGAAUUCCUUGGGAUUUAUGCGAACUGUAACAGACACUGUGAAAAGACUUAGACCUGUUUCUGAUCCCAGAUUAUCUGUUUUGAACUGGAUUCAUAUAAUCCAGUUCAAAACAGAUAAUCUGGGGUCAGAUACUGGAUUAUGUGACAGUGUAGAUCCAGCCUCAGCUGCUAUAAACGGGAGAGUAAUCUAUUAUUAACGAGUUUUCAUUUCAAAGGAAGUCGAUGAGCGAUGCCAACUGUUAGUGUUUGGGUGGUGAUUGUAUUUCAGUAUGUUCCAGGGGUCCCUUUUCUGGUCACUUGGGGAAGGAUGGCUUUCCCUUCCCCUAUAUUUCAUAUAAUUAUUUCUCAUUGUGAUGUGAGGGGAUUUCAUAUAAUGCCUCAAUGAGGAAACACCACGUGAAGGAAGUUCCAUUGAUUAUCUCUGCAAUCUUUUGCCAUCUUGCCCCAAGUACUGAACUUUCAACUUUCAUUGGUAGGAGUCCGAUGUGCAUAUUGGAGAACAACCAUAGAGCCCAUGUGUGAGAGAAAUGACACUGAUUGGACUAGAUUCCCUUGUGUGAAACAUUUUUAUGAGUACAGAUAAAACUCCUUCCAUGAUAACACUGAACAUGCUAUUGCCACAGGAGCAUGGAGGUACAGUGUCAUAACAGGGACAGAUGUUAUCCAUGCAGUCAUGAAACCCUCUUUGUGUAUCUUGAUAUAGAAGAGGCCAUGUGGAUAACUGAUGGAAUUUAGCUGCUUUGAGUCUCCUGGAAUAUUAUUAUAAUAUAAUUAUUAUUAAUAAUAUUAGUACUUAUGCAGGAUAAUGCCGGUUAUCUAUUUUACCCUUAGUCAAUGCAAGAGUAUUGCAAUCCAUGGCAGAUGCCCAUCCAGCUUCUGCUUAAACAUUUCCAGUGAAAAAAUGCUCAUCAAUAAUCCCAAAUAGUUUGUAGCAGAGUAGUUUCUGGUUAUUGGUGGCUGUCAAGCCUAACCACCUUAUAGGAUUGUUGUGAGGAUAAAAUGGUUAGAGGAGAGAAUUAUUUGCAUCAGCCUCGGGUCCCUGAGAGGAAGGGGAAAUUGGGGAGGGGAGGCAAAAAGCAAAACAAUAUCUCUAAACUGUAAAACCAAAAUCCAUCAAAACUUUACUUUUGUAUUAUGUUCUGUAAAUGGAUACUUGCUUUGACUGCCUGUUAAAUAAUGUACAUGCAUAUUAAUAAAAUAUAUUUGCACAUUACAUACUUUAAAUGCUUCUGACUGAAAUCUUUUUGUUUCUUUAUGUUAGCGCACAAGAACCAACUUCAAUAGGCUGCUGCUGUCUUCUGUGGAGUCUCAUCUGGUUGGCUAUAUUGGCUGUUUUUGCUUGGCCCUUCAGUGUGGCUAUGGCAACCCUUUACGGAUUUGUGGCACCCCUGAUUACCCUCAUAGGCCUGGAUGAUAUGAGUGAACCUAUGUUGCAAGCAGUAAAUGUGGGAAGACAGUGUGCACGCAACGUCAGAACUGGCAGCCCUAUGAUCUGAAGAAAGGGUCUCAAAGACUUUAGAGUUCCAUGCCUUUUUUCCUGAUUUUGUGUGUAUUUAUACCUAACAUCACCUGUAGCUUUUUUUUCAGUAUUUCAUUAAAAAUAUUUAUUUCAAUAGCAAAGUAGUAGUAUGAUGUUACUUUAUUCAUUGUUCAUAAAGUCCAUAAAGUGCUUUAGUGACUCAGAUUCACACAAGCACACAUCAAGUGAGCCGGUGGUUUAUGUGCUGCUGAUGCAAUUAACCAACUUGCCUUAAUCGUUCUUGUUGCCACUGUUGUGUCAUUUCUGAAUUGUAGGGCCCUCAGGCAACCCUAUUAUGGGAGAGAAUGACCUGCCCAAGGUCCAGUUCAUUUCCAUGACUAACCGGGUAUUCAAACCCUGAUCUCUACCUUCUUUAAUUAAGAAAUGCAACAAUAUAUAAUUAAAUAUCAGAGACGGGAUCGUCUACAUCAUAGUAUUUUUGAAUUUUAUUGGGUUGUAAAAGCUGAACAGUGAUGAAAGCUACAGGAAGAAUAUCUACUUACUUAUUUGAAAUGCACAGAAGAUAAUUCUGCAGAUAUCACAGAUAGCCAAAAAGAAAAAUGAAGAGUCCUACAGGAAAUCAUGUCUGAAGUCAAAACGAACUUGACAGUAAAUAAAACCAACAGCAAAAUUAGGUCAAGAAGCAAGGGUUCAGAUCCCAAAAACAGUCUUCCACAAAAUCAUCAAAGUUGUCAAUCUUGUGAAUUACAUUGCAGUAUUCAAUUUCAAUAGAAAUGUAUGUCAAUGGUAUUGAAACUUAUCCCAAGAGUUUGGUUAUGCUCCUAUGUCAUUUUCUGAUCUCAUUUGUAAGAAGUUUUCAGUGCUGCAGUCUAGAUACUGGAGGUUAUUCCAUAAGAAACAAAGCACCAGUUAUGACAAAGAAACCAGCUAGACACCCAACAAAUAAUCCGCCAUCUCAAGUGUUAGUAAAAAUUGUUGGUUUUGUUGUUGUGUGCUUUCACAUGAGAUCUCCGACAGCUAGAUAAGUUGAAGAAGUAUCUCUUCCAGCAGGCCUACUCAGUCAAUUUUAAACUGUGAUUUUUAAUCUGCACUUUAUUAACAGAUUUUAACUUGUAUUUUAACUCUGUAUUUUGUUGUGUGUCUUUUAAUAGUGCUUUAUCUCUUGCUUCAAUGAUGUAUCCCACUUUGAGCUGCAGGGAGAGGUGGGUAUUAUUAUUAUUAUUAUUAUUAUUAUUAUUAUUAUUAUUAUUAUUAUUAUUACCAACCUCAUAUUAUUAAUCCAUUAAUGGAAUGCUGAAAAUUACAUGAUUAAUUAAUUGAUUAAUUGCUGCCCCAAACCAGAAAUAAUGGCCUGAUGGCAAAGGGGAAAACUGGAGAUGAGGAAUAAUAUUCAGAAUUAAAUAACUCACCCACACCACUCAUUCAUUCAUUCAUAUUACAUAUCUGUUUUACUACCUCUCACCAUACCUGCUGCAUGUAGAAAGGACUUCAUUCAGCUGGAAACCUUCAACUGUAGAGUUCAUUCAGUAUGGUAGCUCUCAAAUUCCAGACUGGAUGGAGAACCUACACAGGACCCAGGGCUGUAGCCAAGGCGGAGGUUAGGGGUUCAAUCCCCCCCCUCCCUGAAAUUAUUCAGGUUUUUUUUUAAACUUGGUUUACUCCUGAAUUUUAACUGGUUAACCAAAUCCCCAUGAGUGUCCACUGAAGUUGAUCUGUCUUUAGUGUCCACUGAAGUUUAUCAAUGGAACGUGACUUCUAAAUUAUUUUACAUUAUGGAACUACUCUUCAUGAUUUGCUAAAAAAAACCCUGCAUUAUAUGGUCACUGUAGACUCAUACAAUGCAGUUGAACUGUAUUGAAUUGUAUUGUAUAAGUCGACAGUGACUAUAUGCUUCAGUUUCAAACUAUGUUAUAUGGCCGUGUAGCUGACAACGUGAGAUGUUUGUGAGGACUGAGCGCCUUUCUUUGCCAUGGACUGCUCCUGCUUGUGGCCCUCAGUCUUAAAAAACACACAGCUCUGGUGUACUUGCAAAUCAUACUAGAUGUGGUGCCCUAUCUAACUUGAGCUUUGCAUAUCUCUCUUUCAAAGAGAUUGGAAGAAGCAUCUCCUGUCACAGACCAGUAGCAUGCAUACGAAGGUGAAAUACCAUGAAAAAGACUAGUGUUAUUUUAUACUGGGAAAGUGAUGCACUAAUUUUGUUCUCUUGUACUGAAACACAGAUGCCCACAAGUGCCACUUAAAGAGAAAUUCUUAUGCUUUCUCUUGAGUGCAGACAUGUCAGAGCAGUUGGUUUGAAUAUGUAUGUCAUCAAGUUUUCCAUCCUUGUCAUGGAAAAGAAAAUUUGCUUCUAG